GAUGAACGCUGGCGGCGUGCCUAAUACAUGCAGGUCGAGCGAAUGGAUUAAGAGCUUGCUCUUAUGAAGUUAGCGGCGGACGGGUGAGUAACACGUGGGUAACCUGCCCAUAAGACUGGGAUAACUCCGGGAAACCGGGGCUAAUACCGGAUAACAUUUUGAACCGCAUGGUUCGAAAUUGAAAGGCGGCUUCGGCUGUCACUUAUGGAUGGACCCGCGUCGCAUUAGCUAGUUGGUGAGGUAACGGCUCACCAGGGCAACGAUGCGUAGCCGACCUGAGAGGGUGAUCGGCCACACUGGGGCUGAGACACGGCCCAGACUCCUACGGGCGGCAGCAGUAGGGAAUCUUCCGCAAUGGACGAAAGUCUGACGGAGCAACGCCGCGUGAGUGAUGAGGGCUUUCGGGUCGUAAAACUCUGUUGUUAGGGAAGAACAAGUGCUAGUUGAAUAAGCUGGCACCUUGACGGUACCUAACCAGAAAGCCACGGCUAACUACGUGCCAGCCGCCGCCGUAA
RNAcentral lists this ribosomal RNA (515 nucleotides) under uncultured bacterium. RNAcentral describes it as "partial 16S ribosomal RNA". It matches the Rfam family "Bacterial small subunit ribosomal RNA", at positions 28 to 523 of the family's 1533-position model. The record is from RNAcentral.